GAUGAACGCCGGCGGCGUGCCUAAUACAUGCAAGUCGAGCGAACAGACGAGGAGCUUGCUCCUCUGACGUUAGCGGCGGACGGGUGAGUAACACGUGGAUAACCUACCUAUAAGACUGGGAUAACUUCGGGAAACCGGAGCUAAUACCGGAUAACAUGUUGAACCGCAUGGUUCAACAGCGAAAGACGGUCUUGCUGUCACUUAUAGAUGGAUCCGCGCCGCAUUAGCUAGUUGGUAAGGUAACGGCUUACCAAGGCAACGAUGCGUAGCCGACCUGAGAGGGUGAUCGGCCACACUGGAACUGAGACACGGUCCAGACUCCUACGGGAGGCAGCAGUAGGGAAUCUUCCGCAAUGGGCGAAAGCCUGACGGAGCAACGCCGCGUGAGUGAAGAAGGUCUUCGGAUCGUAAAACUCUGUUAUUAGGGAAGAACAAAUGUGUAAGUAACUAUGCACGUCUUGACGGUACCUAAUCAGAAAGCCACGGCUAACUACGUG
RNAcentral lists this ribosomal RNA (497 nucleotides) under uncultured bacterium. RNAcentral describes it as "partial 16S ribosomal RNA". It matches the Rfam family "Bacterial small subunit ribosomal RNA", at positions 28 to 507 of the family's 1533-position model. The record is from RNAcentral.